RNAcentral lists this ribosomal RNA (253 nucleotides) under uncultured bacterium. RNAcentral describes it as "partial 16S ribosomal RNA". It matches the Rfam family "Bacterial small subunit ribosomal RNA", at positions 524 to 776 of the family's 1533-position model. The record is from RNAcentral.
UACGGGGGGGGCAAGCGUUGUUCGGAAUUACUGGGCGUAAAGGGCUCGUAGGUGGCCAACUAAGUCAGACGUGAAAUCCCUCGGCUUAACCGGGGAACUGCGUCUGAUACUGGAUGGCUUGAGUUUGGGAGAGGGAUGCGGAAUUCCAGGUGUAGCGGUGAAAUGCGUAGAUAUCGAGAGGAACACCAGUGGCGCAAGCGGCUGACUGGCCGAGACCUGACGCUGAGACACGACGGCGUGGGGAGCAAACCGG